Molecule: ribosomal RNA, 493 nt
Filed under: uncultured bacterium
Lineage: Bacteria
Description: partial 16S ribosomal RNA
Rfam family: Bacterial small subunit ribosomal RNA
Source: RNAcentral
GAUGAACGCUGGCGGCGUGCCUAACACAUGCAAGUCGAACGAAGCGCCUUUUAAGAUUCUUCGGAUGAUUGAUUGGUGACUGAGUGGCGGACGGGUGAGUAACGCGUGGGUAACCUGCCCUGUACAGGGGGAUAACAGUUGGAAACGGCUGCUAAUACCGCAUAAGCGCACGAGAGGACAUCCUCUUGUGUGAAAAACUCCGGUGGUACAGGAUGGGCCCGCGGCUGAUUAGCUGGUUGGCAGGGUAACGGCCUACCAAGGCGACGAGCAGUAGGCGGUCUGAGAGGAUGAACGGCCACAUUGGAACUGAGACACGGUCCAAACUCCUACGGGAGGCAGCAGUGGGGAAUAUUGCACAAUGGGGGAAACCCUGAUGCAGCAACGCCGCGUGAGUGAAGAAGUAUUUCGGUAUGUAAAGCUCUUUCAGCAGGGAAGAUAAUGACAGUACCUGACUAAGAAGCUCCGGCUAAAUACGUGCCAGCAGCCGCGGUAA